RNAcentral lists this unclassified non-coding RNA (260 nucleotides) under uncultured bacterium. RNAcentral's name for it is "partial may contain 16S ribosomal RNA, 16S-23S ribosomal RNA intergenic spacer, and 23S ribosomal RNA". The record is from RNAcentral.
GCGGAAGCUGCGGCUGGAUCACCUCCUUUCUAGGGAUACCGGAGCAAUUACUUCCGGUAGGCGCCUGGCCGGUUAGAUGGCUUCUGCCGUCCCGCUACCAGGUUCGCCUAGAAACAACGUCGACCUCGACGAACGCUGUUGAGUUUUGAGAGACCGGUGCAAGCCGGCCUUUCGGCUGGGCGGGAAAAACCCGCGCGCACCUUGAAAACUCCAUAGCAGUAACUAGCGAGUUCUUCACGAUCAAGAGACUAAGAGCACAC